UUGCAAGAUAUGUUUUCAGUAACAACAUGCAAGUAGAUAUUAUAUGAUUACCCAGCAUCAAGAAAUUGUUAUAGCGAAAAUGGAAGAUUUACCAGCUUUUGUUCAGCCAGCCCCAGCAUUAAACUCCUCGAAAUAAAGCAAGUUAGAUGUGUAUGAACAACAAUAACAUUCUGCCGAGAUCAAGAGGUUAGAGUUCAAAUGAUCUUUGGAUCACAAUUUAAGUGUCUAAAUAAAUCAAUGUUUUGCUUAUCUAUUAGCCUUAGAUCCUAAUUUUCUUCUUCUUUCUGAUAAAUCUAUAAUUAGAUCAUUAGAAGGCAAAGAGGUGAUUUAGAUUGAUUAGUUUUGUUGAAGUAGAUUUCAUCCACAACUUAACUGUGUAAGCUCAUACAUAUUGUUUACCACAGAGCUUUGAGAAAACCAAAUUUCUUGCAGCUUUCUUAAUUAGUAUGUGUUGAUUUAUGCAAUUUCUAGGGCUUUCAAAAUCAUUAUGCCUGCUUCUCAAGGCAGCUGUGAUAAUUUUGGAUCAUGUUUUAGCAUUAUGGCAUAUUUCUGAAUCGAUAAUAUUACAAUAAAAUUGCAAAGCCAGCCAUUUAUCUCAAUGGUGGCAUAACUUUUGUGAGAGAUUCUCAACUGGAUAUGCUGUGUUCCUAAUUCAAUAAAUUCAUUCCUUACAAGGCUAGCAAACAAGGGAGGUGGUCGGUGACUGGUGACGACUGUGAGGUUACACAAAACCAUACUCUAAGAUUCUCAUCCUGAAUUGAUUAAUUGAGAGAACUUGAAUGAGUUAUUAUCAUAUAAAACAAUGACUUACAACGGAUGAGCGAAGGGGAUGGUUUUGACAAACACAAACUAAUCCAAAGACUUCCUUCAGAAACAAUAAGCAUCUAUAAUGUUUUCUCUCCAAAUACAAAACCGUACAUUCUCAUAUAGUUGAUUAGCAUUACUUAUCAAAAAAUGAUAACAAAUGAUUAGUGCCAGCUCCAAAAUAACUUGAAUUGAUUAAGCCUUUUCUAAAUUCAGACAGCAAAAAUGUUCUCGCCAGCUUGAAAAUGAAGAGCAAUGAGAGAAUUACUCACAAAUCAGAAAGGGAUGAUUGAUUCUCCUUCUCGAGUCUGAUUUCUCCGCGGAGCCCUAAAGAAUAUCCUCGAACGAGAACAAUCCACUACCCUAAUGUUGUGUUUCGUUGGUGGGGAUGGAAUGGAAUUCCCUUGGGUUUUCUAGGCGAACCUCCUUCCCCUCGUUUCUUCACUAUUAUCAUUU
RNAcentral lists this long non-coding RNA (1260 nucleotides) under Panax ginseng (ginseng). Its description in RNAcentral is "long non-coding RNA (PGIN_LNC016661)". The record is from RNAcentral. Lineage: Eukaryota; Viridiplantae; Streptophyta; Magnoliopsida; Apiales; Araliaceae.